AGAGUUUGAUCCUGGCUCAGGACGAACGCUGGCGGCGCGCCUAACACAUGCAAGUCGAACGAGCGAGAGAGAGCUUGCUUCUCGAGCGAGUGGCGAACGGGUGAGUAACGCGUGAGGAACCUGCCUCAAAGAGGGGGACAACAGUUGGAAACGACUGCUAAUACCGCAUAAGCCCACGGUGCCGCAUGGCACAGAGGGAAAAGGAGCAAUCCGCUUUGAGAUGGCCUCGCGUCCGAUUAGCUAGUUGGUGAGGUAAUGGCCCACCAAGGCAACGAUCGGUAGCCGGACUGAGAGGUUGAACGGCCACAUUGGGACUGAGACACGGCCCAGACUCCUACGGGAGGCAGCAGUGGGGAAUAUUGCACAAUGGGGGAAACCCUGAUGCAGCGACGCCGCGUGGAGGAAGAAGGUCUUCGGAUUGUAAACUCCUGUUGUUGGGGAAGAUAAUGACGGUGCCCAACAAGGAAGUGACGGCUAACUACGUGCCAGCAGCCGCGGUAAAACGUAGGUCACAAGCGUUGUCCGGAAUUACUGGGUGUAAAGGGAGCGCAGGCGGGAAGACAAGUUGGAAGUGAAAUCUAUGGGCUCAACCCAUAAACUGCUUUCAAAACUGUUUUUCUUGAGUGGUGCAGAGGUAGGCGGAAUUCCCGGUGUAGCGGUGGAAUGCGUAGAUAUCGGGAGGAACACCAGUGGCGAAGGCGGCCUACUGGGCACCAACUGACGCUGAGGCUCGAAAGUGUGGGUAGCAAACAGGAUUAGAUACCCUGGUAGUCCACACCGUAAACGAUGAUUACUAGGUGUUGGAGGAUUGACCCCUUCAGUGCCGCAGUUAACACAAUAAGUAAUCCACCUGGGGAGUACGACCGCAAGGUUGAAACUCAAAGGAAUUGACGGGGGCCCGCACAAGCAGUGGAGUAUGUGGUUUAAUUCGACGCAACGCGAAGAACCUUACCAAGUCUUGACAUCCCUUGACAGACAUAGAAAUAUGUUUUCUCUUCGGAGCAAGGAGACAGGUGGUGCAUGGUUGUCGUCAGCUCGUGUCGUGAGAUGUUGGGUUAAGUCCCGCAACGAGCGCAACCCUUAUGGUCAGUUACUACGCAAGAGGACUCUGGCCAGACUGCCGUUGACAAAACGGAGGAAGGUGGGGAUGACGUCAAAUCAUCAUGCCCUUUAUGACUUGGGCUACACACGUACUACAAUGGCGUUAAACAAAGAGAAGCAAGACCGCGAGGUGGAGCAAAACUCAGAAACAACGUCCCAGUUCGGACUGCAGGCUGCAACUCGCCUGCACGAAGUCGGAAUUGCUAGUAAUCGUGGAUCAGCAUGCCACGGUGAAUACGUUCCCGGGCCUUGUACUCACCGCCCGUCA
Molecule: ribosomal RNA, 1369 nt
Filed under: uncultured bacterium
Lineage: Bacteria
Description: bacterial SSU rRNA
Rfam family: Bacterial small subunit ribosomal RNA
Source: RNAcentral